UAACGUCCGUCGUGAAGAGGGAAACAACCCAGACCGCCAGCUAAGGUCCCAAAGUCAUGGUUAAGUGGGAAACGAUGUGGGAAGGCCCAGACAGCCAGGAUGUUGGCUUAGAAGCAGCCAUCAUUUAAAGAAAGCGUAAUAGCUCACUGGUCGAGUCGGCCUGCGCGGAAGAUGUAACGGGGCUAAACCAUGCACCGAAGCUGCGGCAGCGACGCUGAUGCGUUGUUGGGUAGGGGAGCGUUCUGUAAGCCUGUGAAGGUGUGCUGUGAGGCAUGCUGGAGGUAUCAGAAGUGCGAAUGCUGACAUAAGUAACGAUAAAGCGGGUGAAAAGCCCGCUCGCCGGAAGACCAAGGGUUCCUGUCCAACGUUAAUCGGGGCAGGGUGAGUCGACCCCUAAGGCGAGGCCGAAAGGCGUAGUCGAUGGGAAACAGGUUAAUAUUCCUGUACUUGGUGUUACUGCGAAGGGGGGACGGAGAAGGCUAUGUUGGCCGGGCGACGGUUGUCCCGGUUUAAGCGUGUAGGCUGGUUUUCCAGGCAAAUCCGGAAAACUAAGGCUGAGGCGUGAUGACGAGGCACUACGGUGCUGAAGCAACAAAUGCCCUGCUUCCAGGAAAAGCCUCUAAGCAUCAGGUAACAUCAAAUCGUACCCCAAACCGACACAGGUGGUCAGGUAGAGAAUACCAAGGCGCUUGAGAGAACUCGGGUGAAGGAACUAGGCAAAAUGGUGCCGUAACUUCGGGAGAAGGCACGCUGAUAUGUAGGUGAAGUCCCUCGCGGAUGGAGCUGAAAUCAGUCGAAGAUACCAGCUGGCUGCAACUGUUUAUUAAAAACACAGCACUGUGCAAACACGAAAGUGGACGUAUACGGUGUGACGCCUGCCCGGUGCCGGAAGGUUAAUUGAUGGGGUCAGCGCAAGCGAAGCUCUUGAUCGAAGCCCCGGUAAACGGCGGCCGUAACUAUAACGGUCCUAAGGUAGCGAAAUUCCUUGUCGGGUAAGUUCCGACCUGCACGAAUGGCGUAAUGAUGGCCAGGCUGUCUCCACCCGAGACUCAGUGAAAUUGAACUCGCUGUGAAGAUGCAGUGUACCCGCGGCAAGACGGAAAGACCCCGUGAACCUUUACUAUAGCUUGACACUGAACAUUGAGCCUUGAUGUGUAGGAUAGGUGGGAGGCUUUGAAGUGUGGACGCCAGUCUGCAUGGAGCCGACCUUGAAAUACCACCCUUUAAUGUUUGAUGUUCUAACGUUGACCCGUAAUCCGGGUUGCGGACAGUGUCUGGUGGGUAGUUUGACUGGGGCGGUCUCCUCCUAAAGAGUAACGGAGGAGCACGAAGGUUGGCUAAUCCUGGUCGGACAUCAGGAGGUUAGUGCAAUGGCAUAAGCCAGCUUGACUGCGAGCGUGACGGCGCGAGCAGGUGCGAAAGCAGGUCAUAGUGAUCCGGUGGUUCUGAAUGGAAGGGCCAUCGCUCAACGGAUAAAAGGUACUCCGGGGAUAACAGGCUGAUACCGCCCAAGAGUUCAUAUCGACGGCGGUGUUUGGCACCUCGAUGUCGGCUCAUCACAUCCUGGGGCUGAAGUAGGUCCCAAGGGUAUGGCUGUUCGCCAUUUAAAGUGGUACGCGAGCUGGGUUUAGAACGUCGUGAGACAGUUCGGUCCCUAUCUGCCGUGGGCGCUGGAGAACUGAGGGGGGCUGCUCCUAGUACGAGAGGACCGGAGUGGACGCAUCACUGGUGUUCGGGUUGUCAUGCCAAUGGCACUGCCCGGUAGCUAAAUGCGGAAGAGAUAAGUGCUGAAAGCAUCUAAGCACGAAACUUGCCCCGAGAUGAGUUCUCCCUGACUCCUUGAGAGUCCUGAAGGAACGUUGAAG
RNAcentral lists this ribosomal RNA (1865 nucleotides) under Escherichia coli. Its description in RNAcentral is "partial 23S ribosomal RNA". It matches the Rfam family "Bacterial large subunit ribosomal RNA", at positions 999 to 2843 of the family's 2925-position model. Lineage: Bacteria; Pseudomonadati; Pseudomonadota; Gammaproteobacteria; Enterobacterales; Enterobacteriaceae. The record is from RNAcentral.